GCUGUGAAAGCCCUCGAUUCUCUGUCUAUCGGUAGACGGCCUACGCACGGGAACGACGGAGAUUUUUUCAACUACUUGAUAGUCCCUCUUUGCCUCGCUCUCUUAAGUUGAUGCCUAUGCGUCUGCGCGGGAAUGACGAUU
RNAcentral lists this antisense RNA (141 nucleotides) under Coxiella burnetii RSA 493. Its description in RNAcentral is "Coxiella burnetii sRNA 3". It matches the Rfam family "Coxiella burnetii sRNA 3", at positions 1 to 139 of the family's 198-position model. Rfam says of the family: CbSRs 2, 3, 4 and 9 are located antisense to identified ORFs. CbSRs are up-regulated during intracellular growth in host cells. The record is from Rfam by way of RNAcentral. Lineage: Bacteria; Pseudomonadati; Pseudomonadota; Gammaproteobacteria; Legionellales; Coxiellaceae.